This 253-nucleotide ribosomal RNA is filed under the name uncultured bacterium. RNAcentral's name for it is "partial 16S ribosomal RNA". It matches the Rfam family "Bacterial small subunit ribosomal RNA", at positions 524 to 776 of the family's 1533-position model. The record is from RNAcentral.
CACGUAGGGCGCAAGCGUUGUCCGGAAUUAUUGGGCGUAAAGAGCUCGUAGGUGGUUUGUUACGUCUGCUGUGAAAACCUAGGGCUUAACCCUGGGCUUGCAGUGGAUACGGGCAGACUAGAGGUAGGUAGGGGAGAAUGGAAUUCCUGGUGUAGCGGUGAAAUGCGCAGAUAUCAGGAGGAACACCGGUGGCGAAGGCGGUUCUCUGGGCAUGUCCUGACGCUGAGGAGCGAAAGUGUGGGGAGCGAACAGG